AGAGGAGCUGUAAGGUGUGUAGACAUAUGAGAAAACACCUUUUGUCUAUGUAAGGCAGCAAUCCUACAUAAAUAUGGAGAUCUCUGUCUAACUUAGAACAGCUUCCAUACAAC
This is a non-coding RNA of Nannospalax galili (Upper Galilee mountains blind mole rat), 113 nucleotides long. Lineage: Eukaryota; Metazoa; Chordata; Mammalia; Rodentia; Spalacidae. The record is from Ensembl.